RNAcentral lists this ribosomal RNA (482 nucleotides) under uncultured bacterium. Its description in RNAcentral is "partial 16S ribosomal RNA". It matches the Rfam family "Bacterial small subunit ribosomal RNA", at positions 30 to 507 of the family's 1533-position model. The record is from RNAcentral.
AUUGAACGCUGGCGGCAUGCUUUACACAUGCAAGUCGAACGGUAACAGGCCGCAUGGUGCUGACGAGUGGCGAACGGGUGAGUAAUGCAUCCGAACGUGCCCAGUCGUGGGGGAUAACUACUCGAAAGAGUAGCUAAUACCGCAUACCAUCUAUGGAUGAAAGCGGGGGACCUUAAUGCCUCGCGCCAUUGGAGCCGCUGAUGUCAGAUUAGGUAGUUGGUGGGGUAAAGGCUCACCAAGCCAACGAUCUGUAGCUGGUCUGAGAGGAGGACCAGCCACACGGGGACUGAGACACGGCCCAGACUCCUACGGGAGGCAGCAGUGGGGAAUUUUGGACAAUGGGCGCAAGCCUGCUCCAGAAAUGCCGCGUGCAGGAAGAAGGCCUUCGGGUUGUAAACUGCUUUUGUACGGAACGACACGGCUCUGGUUAAUACCCGGGGCUAAUGACGGUACCGUAAGAAUAAGCACCGGCUAACUACGUG